Molecule: ribosomal RNA, 254 nt
Filed under: uncultured bacterium
Lineage: Bacteria
Description: partial 16S ribosomal RNA
Rfam family: Bacterial small subunit ribosomal RNA
Source: RNAcentral
UACAGAGGGGGCAAGCGUUGUUCGGAAUUACUGGGCGUAAAGAGCUCGUAGGCGGUUCCGUAAGUCAGAUGUGAAAACUCAGGGCUCAACCCGGAGACGCCAUCUGAUACUGCGGUGACUGGAGUCUGGUAGGGGAACACGGAAUUCCUGGUGUAGCGGUGAAAUGCGCAGAUAUCAGGAGGAACACCGAUGGCGAAGGCAGUGUUCUGGGCCAGUACUGACGCUGAGGAGCGAAAGCGUGGGGAGCAAACAGG